CUUCGGUGCGAGUGGCGGACGGCUGAGUAACACGUGGGUAACCUACCCUGAAGUGGGGGACAACCCGCCGAAAGGCGAGCUAAUACCGCAUACGAUCGCUGGUCUGAGGAUUGGUGAGGAAAGCCUUCGGGCGCUUUAGGAUGGGCCUGCGGCCGAUUAGCUAGUUGGUGGGGUAAAGGCCUACCAAGGCGAUGAUCGGUAGCUGGUCUGAGAGGAUGAUCAGCCAGACUGGGACUGCGACACGGCCCAGACUCCUACGGGAGGCAGCAGUUAGGAAUCUUGGGCAAUGGGCGAAAGCCUGACCCAGCAACGCCGCGUGGGUGACGAAGGCCUUCGGG
Molecule: ribosomal RNA, 338 nt
Filed under: uncultured bacterium
Lineage: Bacteria
Description: bacterial SSU rRNA
Rfam family: Bacterial small subunit ribosomal RNA
Source: RNAcentral